Molecule: unclassified non-coding RNA, 348 nt
Filed under: soil metagenome
Description: partial contains 5.8S ribosomal RNA, internal transcribed spacer 2, and large subunit ribosomal RNA
Rfam family: 5.8S ribosomal RNA (bases 1-120)
Source: RNAcentral
GAUGAAGAACGUAGCAAAAUGCGAUAAGUAAUGUGAAUUGCAGAAUUCAGUGAAUCAUCGAAUCUUUGAACGCACAUUGCGCCCGCUGGUAUUCCGGCGGGCAUGCCUGUUCGAGCGUCAUUUCAACCCUCAAGCCCCCGGGUUUGGUGUUGGGGAUCGGCUCUGCCCUUCUGGGCGGUGCCGCCCCCGAAAUACAUUGGCGGUCUCGCUGCAGCCUCCAUUGCGUAGUAGCUAACACCUCGCAACUGGAACGCGGCGCGGCCAUGCCGUAAAACCCCAACUUCUGCAUGUUGACCUCGGAUCAGGUAGGAAUACCCGCUGAACUUAAGCAUAUCAAUAAGCGGAGGA